RNAcentral lists this ribosomal RNA (482 nucleotides) under uncultured bacterium. Its description in RNAcentral is "partial 16S ribosomal RNA". It matches the Rfam family "Bacterial small subunit ribosomal RNA", at positions 30 to 507 of the family's 1533-position model. The record is from RNAcentral.
AUUGAACGCUGGCGGCAGGCCUACACAUGCAAGUCGAGCGGAUGAAGGGAGCUUGCUCCUGGAUUCAGCGGCGGACGGGUGAGUAAUGCCUAGGAAUCUGCCUGGUAGUGGGGGAUAACGUCCGGAAACGGGCGCUAAUACCGCAUACGUCCUGAGGGAGAAAGUGGGGGAUCUUCGGACCUCACGCUAUCAGAUGAGCCUAGGUCGGAUUAGCUAGUUGGUGGGGUAAAGGCCUACCAAGGCGACGAUCCGUAACUGGUCUGAGAGAUGAUCAGUCACACUGGAACUGAGACACGGUCCAGACUCCUACGGGAGGCAGCAGUGGGGAAUAUUGGACAAUGGGCGAAAGCCUGAUCCAGCCAUGCCGCGUGUGUGAAGAAGGUCUUCGGAUUGUAAAGCACUUUAAGUUGGGAGGAAGGGCAGUAAGUUAAUACCUUGCUGUUUUGACGUUACCAACAGAAUAAGCACCGGCUAACUUCGUG